AUUGAACGCUAGCGGGAUGCUUUACACAUGCAAGUCGAACGGCAGCGCGGACUUCGGUCUGGCGGCGAGUGGCGAACGGGUGAGUAAUGUAUCGGAACGUGCCCAGUAGCGGGGGAUAACUACGCGAAAGCGUAGCUAAUACCGCAUACGCCCUACGGGGGAAAGCAGGGGAUCGUAAGACCUUGCACUAUUGGAGCGGCCGAUAUCGGAUUAGCUAGUUGGUGAGGUAACGGCUCACCAAGGCGACGAUCCGUAGCUGGUUUGAGAGGACGACCAGCCACACUGGGACUGAGACACGGCCCAGACUCCUACGGGAGGCAGCAGUAGGGAAUUUUGGACAAUGGGGGCAACCCUGAUCCAGCCACCCCGCGUGUGCGAUGAAGGCCUUCGGGUUGUAAAGCACUUUUGGCAGGAAAGAAACGUCGCGGGCUAAUACCCCGUGGAACUGACGGUACCUGCAGAAUAAGCACCGGCUAACUACGUG
This 484-nucleotide ribosomal RNA is filed under the name uncultured bacterium. RNAcentral's name for it is "partial 16S ribosomal RNA". It matches the Rfam family "Bacterial small subunit ribosomal RNA", at positions 30 to 507 of the family's 1533-position model. The record is from RNAcentral.